ACCUGCACGAAUGGCGUAAUGAUGGCCAGGCUGUCUCCACCCGAGACUCAGUGAAAUUGAACUCGCUGUGAAGAUGCAGUGUACCCGCGGCAAGACGGAAAGACCCCGUGAACCUUUACUAUAGCUUGACACUGAACAUUGAGCCUUGAUGUGUAGGAUAGGUGGGAGGCUUUGAAGUGUGGACGCCAGUCUGCAUGGAGCCGACCUUGAAAUACCACCCUUUAAUGUUUGAUGUUCUAACGUGGACCCGUGAUCCGGGUUGCGGACAGUGUCUGGUGGGUAGUUUGACUGGGGCGGUCUCCUCCUAAAGAGUAACGGAGGAGCACGAAGGUUGGCUAAUCCUGGUCGGACAUCAGGAGGUUAGUGCAAUGGCAUAAGCCAGCUUGACUGCGAGCGUGACGGCGCGAGCAGGUGCGAAAGCAGGUCAUAGUGAUCCGGUGGUUCUGAAUGGAAGGGCCAUCGCUCAACGGAUAAAAGGUACUCCGGGGAUAACAGGCUGAUACCGCCCAAGAGUUCAUAUCGACGGCGGUGUUUGGCACCUCGAUGUCGGCUCAUCACAUCCUGGGGCUGAAGUAGGUCCCAAGGGUAUGGCUGUUCGCCAUUUAAAGUGGUACGCGAGCUGGGUUUAGAACGUCGUGAGACAGUUCGGUCCCUAUCUGCCGUGGGCGCUGGAGAACUGAGGGGGGCUGCUCCUAGUACGAGAGGACCGGAGUGGACGCAUCACUGGUGUUCGGGUUGUCAUGCCAAUGGCACUGCCCGGUAGCUAAAUGCGGAAGAGAUAAGUGCUGAAAGCAUCUAAGCACGAAACUUGCCCCGAGAUGAGUUCUCCCUGACCCUUUAAGGGUCCUGAAGGAACGUUGAAGACGACGACGUUGAUAGGCCGGGUGUGUAAGCGCAGCGAUGCGUUGAGCUAACCGGUACUAAUGAACCGUGAGGCUUAACCUUACAACGCCGAAG
RNAcentral lists this ribosomal RNA (957 nucleotides) under Shigella flexneri. RNAcentral's name for it is "partial 23S ribosomal RNA". It matches the Rfam family "Bacterial large subunit ribosomal RNA", at positions 1986 to 2925 of the family's 2925-position model. The record is from RNAcentral. Lineage: Bacteria; Pseudomonadati; Pseudomonadota; Gammaproteobacteria; Enterobacterales; Enterobacteriaceae.